CUUGAAUCAUGAUGAUACUAUUCAUUCUGGCAUCUUCCUCUUCAUCACGGUGUUCGCAUUCUUGCUUCGGCUCGACCAAAAGGAGCAAACCGAUUACCGCAGAGGUGUGUUCAAUGCUUUGACUCAUGAUAUCACCAUAGGUUGUGGUUGCUUAUGAAGAAUCCCAUAAUUUGUAGAAUGAAGGUUGUAGACGUGGAGUUUUGGCUACCUGAUUGGGACUGGUUCGGUUACAGGUGGUCCUGAGAGUGCCACAAAUGUGAAAUGAUUGAGAGUUUGCAGAAUGAUGAAAGAGAACUGAUGCAGAAGGAUAAAUUUGAGGAAGCAUAAAGAAGAUGAAGGAAUUGCAUAAUGAGCAUCUCCCUCUGAAUUGCAAUCAGGUAGGGCAUGAUCAUCAUUGAUCUAUCAAGUUCACAUCUAGGAUUUAAGACCCUCAUGACUAAGAACACAAACCAAGGAAGGAUCUGCAAUGUCUCUAAGCAUCAUAUAUGAGUCCCAAUGAUAUUUACAUGUUAUUCUGAUUAAGAUUUCUUCAAGAGUUUGGAGUUGGUUUGCCUUGGAAACCCUAGUUUGUUUGGGUAUCUUGAGUAACUUCUUCAACAAGUUUCUUCACCAAUUGAUCAAAUCUCUCAAGGGACACUUAAACAUUCAUCAUCUUAUGCAUAUAUGAUCUACCAUGAGCCUAAAAAGUCAAGAGAAUUGCAUGUUAGCAAGUUGGUUGGUGGUGAUUGGCCAGAUGAAUUCAUCUAAUCAAAGUUGGAUCUCCCUAGACCCUAUCUCCUACAAUUUUCAUUAUAUGAAAAUGAUUCAAAGAGAAAAGUUUCUCUAAAUGACAUUCCAAACAAAUUUCAUGUUGAGGUCUAGAGCUAAUUUUUCUUGGAAAGUAAUUUUCUAUGUUGAAACAUUAUAGGUUAUUUUAUCUAAACCCUAAUUUGAAAGUCAACUUCCCAAGGCCAUAACUUGCUCAAUUUUUAUGAGAUAAAAUAUUUUCAAAUUUCACA
Molecule: long non-coding RNA, 998 nt
Organism: Lathyrus oleraceus (garden pea)
Lineage: Eukaryota; Viridiplantae; Streptophyta; Magnoliopsida; Fabales; Fabaceae
Exons: 3
Source: RefSeq, a predicted model, not a curated record